GUUCUUCUGAAGUGUCCAAAACUGGGACGAAACAGCUGUCUAGUAC
This 46-nucleotide non-coding RNA is filed under the name Trichobilharzia regenti. Lineage: Eukaryota; Metazoa; Platyhelminthes; Trematoda; Strigeidida; Schistosomatidae. The record is from RNAcentral.